Molecule: long non-coding RNA, 784 nt
Organism: Pan troglodytes (chimpanzee)
Lineage: Eukaryota; Metazoa; Chordata; Mammalia; Primates; Hominidae
Exons: 3
Source: RefSeq, a predicted model, not a curated record
AGCAAAUGAACUAAGACAAAAAUUAAAGAAUAUUUGCUAAUUGAUCAAAUGGCUCUAAAUGACAUAGUAUUUUUUCAGAAUUGGAAAUACUAAUAUAAUACCUUUUCUCAUUAUUCAGAACAUUGACAUACCACAGCAACCAAAAGUCACUAGUAUUUUAUGUCUUUAUGUCCUUGCUUAUUUGCCUGUUGAUUUCCCAUUUGUAAGCAAUUCAAAGUCCACUGCAUGAUGACAACUGUACCCCAAAACAAGUAGACCUAUUUGAUUAAUUAAUUAGAAUGUAUUUUGAAAAAUCAGCUUAACGUUGAUUCUUGAAGAUGAUUCCAAGUAGCAACUUGGACUAGGAAAACUGAAUACAAUGCCCAGAAGCCCCCGUGGCAGUACAGAUGCAAAGUCUGCAACUCAAUUUUACUAUUCCUUGAACUACAGUGCUACCUGGGUGGUGCCAAGCAACUGGAAUCCUUGAGCAAUUUGGGCAAUCGGCAAUCUGAUCAAGCAAUCUGAUAUUGGAAGACAUCCUACACAGAUUGCAAUAAAAAGCAAAAUACCUGCUAACAACCUGAAACUGCAGUGGUAGGAAUUGCUGGUGUGUCCGGAAUUGGUGGGUUCUUGGUCUCACUGACUUCAAGAAUGAAGCCGCAGACCCUCGCGAUCAUAGGUAAACUCCUGGGAUUCUGAGGUCUGAGGCCAUGCAAAAGACACCUUGGAAAAUCAUAGUCAACAUCUGGACCUCUGUAUUCUUCUCUGCAAAAUGAGGAGGCUGAUUAAAUGCUGUUGAAGACUC